GAUGAACGCCUAGCGGCAGGCCUAACACAUGCAAGUCGAGGGGCAUCGCGGUGCAGCAAUGCACUGGCGGCGACCGGCGUACGGGUGCGUAACGCGUAUGCAACCUGCCCCGCACCGGGGGAUAGCCCGCCGAAAGGCGGAUUAAUACCCCAUGGCCCCGGGGGCCCGCAUGGGCAUCCGGGUAAAGCCUUGGCGGUGCGGGAUGGGCAUGCGUGCCAUUAGCUGGCUGGUGGGGUAACGGCCCACCAGGGCAACGAUGGCUAGGGGGUCUGAGAGGAUGGUCCCCCACACUGGUACUGAGACACGGACCAGACUCCUACGGGAGGCAGCAGUGAGGAAUAUUGGUCAAUGGGCGGAAGCCUGAACCAGCCAUGCCGCGUGCGGGAUGAAGGCCCUACGGGUUGUAAACCGCUUUUCCCCGGGAAGAAUAACCCCGAUGAGUCGGGGGAUGCCGGUACCGGGGGAAUAAGGAUCGGCUAACUCCGUG
Molecule: ribosomal RNA, 487 nt
Filed under: uncultured bacterium
Lineage: Bacteria
Description: bacterial SSU rRNA
Rfam family: Bacterial small subunit ribosomal RNA
Source: RNAcentral